This 1361-nucleotide ribosomal RNA is filed under the name uncultured bacterium. Its description in RNAcentral is "bacterial SSU rRNA". It matches the Rfam family "Bacterial small subunit ribosomal RNA", at positions 28 to 1381 of the family's 1533-position model. The record is from RNAcentral.
AUUGAACGCUGGCUGCAGGCCUAACACAUGCAAGUCGAGCGGUAGCACAGAGAGCUUGCUCUCGGGUGACGAGCGGCGGACGGGUGAGUAAUGUCUGGGAAACUGCCUGAUGGAGGGGGAUAACUACUGGAAACGGUAGCUAAUACCGCAUAACGUCGCAAGACCAAAGUGGGGGACCUUCGGGCCUCAUGCCAUCAGAUGUGCCCAGAUGGGAUUAGCUAGUAGGUGGGGUAAUGGCUCACCUAGGCGACGAUCCCUAGCUGGUCUGAGAGGAUGACCAGCCACACUGGAACUGAGACACGGUCCAGACUCCUACGGGAGGCAGCAGUGGGGAAUAUUGCACAAUGGGCGCAAGCCUGAUGCAGCCAUGCCGCGUGUGUGAAGAAGGCCUUCGGGUUGUAAAGCACUUUCAGCGGGGAGGAAGGCGGUGAGGUUAAUAACCUCAUCGAUUGACGUUACCCGCAGAAGAAGCACCGGCUAACUCCGUGCCAGCAGCCGCGGUAAUACGGAGGGUGCAAGCGUUAAUCGGAAUUACUGGGCGUAAAGCGCACGCAGGCGGUCUGUCAAGUCGGAUGUGAAAUCCCCGGGCUCAACCUGGGAACUGCAUUCGAAACUGGCAGGCUAGAGUCUUGUAGAGGGGGGUAGAAUUCCAGGUGUAGCGGUGAAAUGCGUAGAGAUCUGGAGGAAUACCGGUGGCGAAGGCGGCCCCCUGGACAAAGACUGACGCUCAGGUGCGAAAGCGUGGGGAGCAAACAGGAUUAGAUACCCUGGUAGUCCACGCCGUAAACGAUGUCGAUUUGGAGGUUGUGCCCUUGAGGCGUGGCUUCCGGAGCUAACGCGUUAAAUCGACCGCCUGGGGAGUACGGCCGCAAGGUUAAAACUCAAAUGAAUUGACGGGGGCCCGCACAAGCGGUGGAGCAUGUGGUUUAAUUCGAUGCAACGCGAAGAACCUUACCUGGUCUUGACAUCCACAGAACUUUCCAGAGAUGGAUUGGUGCCUUCGGGAACUGUGAGACAGGUGCUGCAUGGCUGUCGUCAGCUCGUGUUGUGAAAUGUUGGGUUAAGUCCCGCAACGAGCGCAACCCUUAUCCUUUGUUGCCAGCGGUCCGGCCGGGAACUCAAAGGAGACUGCCAGUGAUAAACUGGAGGAAGGUGGGGAUGACGUCAAGUCAUCAUGGCCCUUACGACCAGGGCUACACACGUGCUACAAUGGCAUAUACAAAGAGAAGCGACCUCGCGAGAGCAAGCGGACCUCAUAAAGUAUGUCGUAGUCCGGAUUGGAGUCUGCAACUCGACUCCAUGAAGUCGGAAUCGCUAGUAAUCGUAGAUCAGAAUGCUACGGUGAAUACGUUCCCGGGCCU